Molecule: RNA transcript, 1194 nt
Organism: Panicum virgatum (switchgrass)
Lineage: Eukaryota; Viridiplantae; Streptophyta; Magnoliopsida; Poales; Poaceae
Exons: 7
Source: RefSeq, a predicted model, not a curated record
CCUCCCUCUACCUCUACCUCCACCCCUCGCCAGUCGCCUCCCUCCCCUCUACCUCCGCCGGCCUCCCGCUCCCCCCAUUUCCCUCCACCCCGCCGGAUCUGGGGCCGCACGGGCGGUCUGCCGGCGGAUCCGGGGGCGGCCGGCCUAGGUUAGCGAGCCGCCGUCGGAUCUCGGGUCAGCUGGUCUCGGGCGCCGCCGCCUAGCCCUUGGCCGAGAGGGGGAUGGGGAGCAGGCCGCCAUGCCCUUGGCCGAGAGGGGGAAGGGGAGCAGGCCACCAGGCCCUUGGCCGAGAGGGUGAAGGGGCUCUACACGCGAGGGAGGACGAUGGCACGGCUAGCGGCGCAGGAGGCGACGACGCGGCAGCGGCGCGAGGAGACGGCACGGUGGCAUGACGAAGCACCGACGACGAGGCUCUCCACCAUCUCCGCCGCCUUCUCACCAGUAAGGGUCGUUCUCUCUUUCUUCCCCUCUCUUCUCCUAGGGUAUCUCGUUCUUGGCGAUGGUGACGUAGUUGCGGCACUGGUGGACGAGGUCGAGGCCGUCGCAGAUGGCGUUGCAGAGGACAGAGGUCGAGCAUAGAGGUUGUGCUUACUGGGCAAAGAUUUUCUUCCAAUGCCUCCAUCGCUAGAUCUGGUUGCUUGAUGUGCGUUUGUGCUGUUCUUUGCUGGCCAUGGUAGAUUCAGUGUCCUAAAAGGCUAGAAAAAUGAAGCAGGAGUCCAGCAAAAUGGUAUACUUCAUGAGGCAGACGAUUGGAAACGCCCGCGGAACAGUUGGUAUUAUUCAUGCACCGGGGAAUGCUGCUUCCAAAAUCAAGCUAGGUGAGGGGUCGUAUUUUGAUAGAUUUUAUAUACAAACUGCUGAUAUGGAUCCAGUCCAGUGUGCUGCAUUUCUUGUGGAGGACCAAGAAAUGGAUAAGGCCUAUGCAUGAGAUAAUUUUUGCCAUGGUUGAUAAGCCAAAGUUCCUUAGUCAGAGUACCGAGCAGCUACAAGGAAAGUUACUUCAGAAAUUUCACAAAGUUGAGUUUUGCUGUCAUGACAAAGGCAUACCCAAGUAUUGAAAGGAAUGAUCUGAUUUUGGUCCAGGAGAUUGCAAGCUAUAUGACAUUUUGGAUGUAACUGUGUAUGGAUGUAAUGUAAUGGAUGUGUAUGGAUGUAAUAAAGGAAUAUAAGAAAUUUUAUUUUUUUGUUUUUUAA